This 1489-nucleotide ribosomal RNA is filed under the name Lactiplantibacillus plantarum. Its description in RNAcentral is "bacterial SSU rRNA". It matches the Rfam family "Bacterial small subunit ribosomal RNA". The record is from RNAcentral. Lineage: Bacteria; Bacillati; Bacillota; Bacilli; Lactobacillales; Lactobacillaceae.
GACGAACGCUGGCGGCGUGCCUAAUACAUGCAAGUCGAACGAACUCUGGUAUUGAUUGGUGCUUGCAUCAUGAUUUACAUUUGAGUGAGUGGCGAACUGGUGAGUAACACGUGGGAAACCUGCCCAGAAGCGGGGGAUAACACCUGGAAACAGAUGCUAAUACCGCAUAACAACUUGGACCGCAUGGUCCGAGUUUGAAAGAUGGCUUCGGCUAUCACUUUUGGAUGGUCCCGCGGCGUAUUAGCUAGAUGGUGGGGUAACGGCUCACCAUGGCAAUGAUACGUAGCCGACCUGAGAGGGUAAUCGGCCACAUUGGGACUGAGACACGGCCCAAACUCCUACGGGAGGCAGCAGUAGGGAAUCUUCCACAAUGGACGAAAGUCUGAUGGAGCAACGCCGCGUGAGUGAAGAAGGGUUUCGGCUCGUAAAACUCUGUUGUUAAAGAAGAACAUAUCUGAGAGUAACUGUUCAGGUAUUGACGGUAUUUAACCAGAAAGCCACGGCUAACUACGUGCCAGCAGCCGCGGUAAUACGUAGGUGGCAAGCGUUGUCCGGAUUUAUUGGGCGUAAAGCGAGCGCAGGCGGUUUUUUAAGUCUGAUGUGAAAGCCUUCGGCUCAACCGAAGAAGUGCAUCGGAAACUGGGAAACUUGAGUGCAGAAGAGGACAGUGGAACUCCAUGUGUAGCGGUGAAAUGCGUAGAUAUGUGGAAGAACACCAGUGGCGAAGGCGGCUGUCUGGUCUGUAACUGACGCUGAGGCUCGAAAGUAUGGGUAGCAAACAGGAUUAGAUACCCUGGUAGUCCAUACCGUAAACGAUGAAUGCUAAGUGUUGGAGGGUUUCCGCCCUUCAGUGCUGCAGCUAACGCAUUAAGCAUUCCGCCUGGGGAGUACGGCCGCAAGGCUGAAACUCAAAGGAAUUGACGGGGGCCCGCACAAGCGGUGGAGCAUGUGGUUUAAUUCGAAGCUACGCGAAGAACCUUACCAGGUCUUGACAUACUAUGCAAAUCUAAGAGAUUAGACGUUCCCUUCGGGGACAUGGAUACAGGUGGUGCAUGGUUGUCGUCAGCUCGUGUCGUGAGAUGCUGGGUUAAGUCCCGCAACGAGCGCAACCCUUAUUAUCAGUUGCCAGCAUUAAGUUGGGCACUCUGGCGAGACUGCCGGUGACAAACCGGAGGAAGGUGGGGAUGACGUCAAAUCAUCAUGCCCCUUAUGACCUGGGCUACACACGUGCUACAAUGGAUAGUACAACGAGUUGCGAACUCGCGAGAGUAAGCUAAUCUCUUAAAGCCAUUCUCAGUUCGGAUUGUAGGCUGCAACUCGCCUACAUGAAGUCGGAAUCGCUAGUAAUCGCGGAUCAGCAUGCCGCGGUGAAUACGUUCCCGGGCCUUGUACACACCGCCCGUCACACCAUGAGAGUUUGUAACACCCAAAGUCGGUGGGGUAACCUUUUAGGAACCAGCCGCCUAAGGUGGGACAGAUGAUUAGGGUG